This 131-nucleotide ribosomal RNA is filed under the name Streptococcus suis. RNAcentral's name for it is "partial 16S ribosomal RNA". It matches the Rfam family "Bacterial small subunit ribosomal RNA", at positions 1 to 126 of the family's 1533-position model. The record is from RNAcentral. Lineage: Bacteria; Bacillati; Bacillota; Bacilli; Lactobacillales; Streptococcaceae.
UUUAAUGAGAGUUUGAUCCUGGCUCAGGACGAACGCUGGCGGCGUGCCUAAUACAUGCAAGUAGAACGCUGAAGUCUGGUGCUUGCACUAGACGGAUGAGUUGCGAACGGGUGAGUAACGCGUAGGUAACC